AUAUAGUCAAUGUAUUAUAGUUAUAGUAUAUCUAAUUUUUUUUUUUUAAAUUGAGGGGGACAAAAAGUAAUAUAUUUCAAUAUUAGAUUAGCUUUUAUAUAGGGGGCAGGAGUGACCAUCAUGAAAGAUUUUUUGGUGAAAUUUAAAUUAAAUAUUCUAAAUUGAAUUUUACUUGCUAAAAAUGGCUGAAAAUCAGACUGAAUUAGACUACAAACAACUUAUUAACCACUAUUAAUGGUUCGAUUCAGAAAAAGCCAAAAGGUUUGGUUAACUGAAUUAUGAUCACUUGUACCUAAAUUCGAUUAUCUAUUUUGACAUGUUACACCAUUAAACUUUUUUUUUUUUAAUCAAUUGCAUCAUUGAACUUUUACUUUUGUAUUUAAUAGGCAAGAUUUGCAAGGUCAUUUAGAACAACUUAAGGUGCAACAUGUCAAAAUAAAAUUUUAAAGAGUGCUAUAGGUUGAACUGUUGAAAUAAAAGGUCAAGUCUAUAUUAAAUAUUUCAAAGAGUUCAGCAGAAAAUUUGUAUAUUUAGGCAAUAUGGAAAUAAAUGACAAACAAUUAUAACCAUCUUUACCAUCCCAAAUUUAAAACACAAUUUUGGAAACAACAUAAAUCAAUGGAUUUGUGAAUUAUUACAGCCCUGCUUUGUUCUCCAAUUAAAUACUGUGUUAAGCUUUAGCCAUUGCUCAUGGUCUAGCCAAAUUGUUUAUCACAUGAAAACUCAUGAUCUCUAAUAUUUAACAAUUAUGAGAUAUCAAGCCCAAACAAAAAGGGAUGAAACCAAUAUAAAAAAUAUAAACUUUGAACAGUGCACUACUAAGAGAGAAGAAUAAAUACCUGAGUGAGGCCAA
Molecule: unclassified non-coding RNA, 853 nt
Filed under: Hevea brasiliensis (rubber tree)
Lineage: Eukaryota; Viridiplantae; Streptophyta; Magnoliopsida; Malpighiales; Euphorbiaceae
Source: RNAcentral